This 497-nucleotide ribosomal RNA is filed under the name uncultured bacterium. Its description in RNAcentral is "partial 16S ribosomal RNA". It matches the Rfam family "Bacterial small subunit ribosomal RNA", at positions 28 to 507 of the family's 1533-position model. The record is from RNAcentral.
GAUGAACGCUGGCGGCGUGCCUAAUACAUGCAAGUCGAGCGAACAGACGAGGAGCUUGCUCCUUUGACGUUAGCGGCGGACGGGUGAGUAACACGUAGGUAACCUACCUAUAAGACUGGGAUAACUUCGGGAAACCGGAGCUAAUACCGGAUAAUAUUUCGAACCGCAUGGUUCGAUAGUGAAAGAUGGCUUUGCUAUCACUUAUAGAUGGGCCUGCGCCGUAUUAGCUAGUUGGUAAGGUAACGGCUUACCAAGGCAACGAUACGUAGCCGACCUGAGAGGGUGAUCGGCCACACUGGAACUGAGACACGGUCCAGACUCCUACGGUAGGCAGCAGUAGGGAAUCUUCCGCAAUGGGCGAAAGCCUGACGGAGCAACGCCGCGUGAGUGAUGAAGGUCUUCGGAUCGUAAAACUCUGUUAUUAGGGAAGAACAAACGUGUAAGUAACUGUGCACGUCUUGACGGUACCUAAUCAGAAAGCCACGGCUAACUACGUG